RNAcentral lists this ribosomal RNA (468 nucleotides) under uncultured bacterium. RNAcentral's name for it is "partial 16S ribosomal RNA". It matches the Rfam family "Bacterial small subunit ribosomal RNA", at positions 28 to 507 of the family's 1533-position model. The record is from RNAcentral.
GACGAACGCUGGCGGCGUGCUUAACACAUGCAAGUCGAACGGAAAGGCCCUGCUUUUGUUGGUUUCUCUAGUGGCGAACGGGUGAGUAACACGUGAGUAACCUGCCCUUGACUUUGGGAUAACUUCAGGAAACCGGGGCUAAUACCGGAUAGGCGCUCCUGCUGCAUGGUGGGGGUUGGAAAGUUUCGGCGGUUGGGGAUGGACUCGCGGCUUAUCAGCUUGUUGGUGGGGUAGUGGCUUACCAAGGCUUUGACGGGUAGCCGGCCUGAGAGGGUGACCGGCCACAUUGGGACUGAGAUACGGACAAGAGUCCUACGGGAGGCAGCAGUGGGGAAUAUUGCACAAUGGGCGGAAGCCUGAUGCAGCAACGCUGCGUGCGUGAUAACGGCCUUCGGGGUGUAAACCGCUUUCGCCUGUGACGAAGCGUGAGUGACGGUAAUGGGUAAAGAAGCACCGGCUAACUACGUG